Molecule: long non-coding RNA, 263 nt
Organism: Notothenia coriiceps (black rockcod)
Lineage: Eukaryota; Metazoa; Chordata; Actinopteri; Perciformes; Nototheniidae
Exons: 3
Source: RefSeq, a predicted model, not a curated record
CUCCCCCAACAACACGCUGCCUAUCCCCAAGAAGGCCAGCGUUGAAACUAGGACCAUGUCUGACAGCCCCACCACAGGUUCAGCCAAUCAGAUGCCAGAGCACUAUGGCAGCAUUUGGUCCGGAGGUGGGAGCAGUGGCUACGGUUACAACACUAACCCCAAUAACCUGUCGGCUACCUCCACCCUUUACUCAUCAGGAGUUCAGAACAACCUGACCCUCAGCUCCCCAUCGAUGAACGGUGGACUCUCUGCUGGCAGCACUG